AUGGAGAGAGUAGCCAGACUAUCAGGGGAGUCCUUUCAAGGAAUCCAGCACACCCCUCCUCCUCCUGACAAGGUGAGCUCCCCAUCCAUCUCACAUGUCCAGUGCUGCCACACAGCUAAUAAAGAUUCCUGUAGCUCUCUGCUGCCAAGAUGUCCAGUAACACACUGUCCUGUUUGUGCAUGGAGUCCAGGUCCCUUUUGCAAGCCCUUGAUACCCUCAACCAAAAGGAAUUUCACUGGUUCAUCACCAGAGGCUUCCCGUGUCCUGAGGGGCGCUCGUGUGUUGGCAAGGAGAGAAACUGAUGGCUUUUACUACCUGGGCCGCAUUGUCCAGGAGCUGAAGGGCACCAGGGAAGGCUUUUUAAUUGAGUUUGACCAAAGCUGUGCUCUGAAGGGCAAGGUCCAGUGUGGCUGGCAGGAAACCCCUCUCUAUGACAUUCUGCACUACGAGGACGCCCGGCGACACCCUCUUGCUCCAGGGGACAGAGUCUUGGCACCAUGGGAGGCUCCAGCCAAACGUUUUGGCCCUGGCACUGUGCUAAGGAUUGUGGAGAACACAGAGGCACCUCUAGUAUGCACUGCACACAAUGAAAGGGGAGUACUUGUGAAUUUCUGGAAUGGGCAGACUAAGGAAGUGUCUUCUGUCCAAGCUCUGCGGAUUCCCCUACCCCUAAGCGAACGCAUCAUCCUGGAGCUGCAGAUGCCUUUGGCAGCCCGGCAGAUGGUGGUAGAUUCAAGCUUGGAUUACCCAUACCUUGUGGCACCAGGUUAUAGAGCCUCAGGGCACUACAGGCAGAGUCACCUGGAGCUGGAUUGCUGCCCAGGGGCUCUGUAUUCCACUCAUCCCUGUGCAAAGUGCAGGUGUGGGUGGACCUCACUUCCCCAGUGCUGCCUUGGAGCCUGGGAACCCACACGGCCUGCAGAGUGCAAAGUGCAGAGGGAAAAUGCCUUCACCCCAGGGCCAAGCUUGUCUGAAGAAAAGCUCAGCCAGAAAAUCGAACAGGAGCUGUCUGAAUUGAGGAUUGCAUCUUCAGAAAGUGUUUCCAGAGAGGAAGAGAAAAAGGAAGAGAAGCGAUUGGAGACAGAAAACUUUCCAAAGGGUCAUGAGGCUACAGAAACCGAGAAGGGCCCUCAGAAGGAGAUGGCUCAUGCUGUGGUCGAUGCUGCUGUCAACACAGACAGCUGGUUAAUGGAAACAGAUCACAAGGAAGAAGCAGAGAACAGACAGCAGGAUGCUGAAACUGAAGCUAAUUUUGAACAUGAGCAUGGCCUUUUUGAGUCCAGAGUGGCAGAAGCUGCAGUCCAGCAUUCCCAGAGGAGCCCUCCCCUGGGAAGCAGUGCUUUGGUUCCUUUCAGGCACCAGAGCUUCUUUGCCCAAGUGAAUCAGUCCCUGGAGAAAGACAGCCUGACCAUCAGAUCAGCCCUUCGUGUGCAGAGACCACACAGCAGCACCAGCCUGCUGGCUGGGAGAUCCACACAUCUCCCACAUCUUCUAAAAGACAAAAGCCCCACAAAAUUGGUCCUUAGUGGUGCAUCUCAGGAGAGGUGGAAAGAGCUGGACUUCAACAGAGCCAAGAUUGAGCACAAAAGGUGGCAAGAGGAGCAGAGGCAGCUGAAGAGGGAGCAGCAGCAGGAGGCAGAUGGCACCCGACGCCGGCUGCGCAGGGACAGCCAGAGGCAGCGAUUGCAUCAGAGAACAUUGCAAGGGCUGGAGAAACAGCUGGAGCACAAAGAGAGAGCUUUGCAGCACAUGGCACUGCUCCAGGCUGCUGGGGCUGAGAGGAGCAGGAAGGAAUCCUUUCCAGAGGAGGAGGAGGAGAGGAAGGCAAGGCAGAGGCUUCAGUUCUUAAAGACACAACGUUUGCAGAGAGAGGAGAUGCAGGCAGAAAGCAACAAAAGGAACUGUGAACAAGAGAAAGAAAGGCUGGAGUUCCUGAGGAGCAGGAUGCAGUCACGGCAGGAAGUGCUGGAACAAGAAUCCCAAGAGCAGGACAAACAGAAAAAGCAGCUCCAGGCUGCCAAAGUGAGAGUGUUCCAGAGGAGAGAGAGUUCUUAUUUAAAGAUGGAAAAAGAAGGCCAGAAGCUCCGUGCCCUCCAGCAGUACCUCAGGGAACAGAAGCUGCUGCUGCUCCGGACAUCCCUGCUCGCGUAA
Long non-coding RNA from Catharus ustulatus (Swainson's thrush), 2151 nucleotides. The record is from Ensembl. NCBI's taxonomy places the organism in Eukaryota, Metazoa, Chordata, Aves, Passeriformes, Turdidae.